AUUCACCUGCAAAAAUUCACCUGCAAAAAUUCAACUGCAAAAGUGAUGAACUUUAAUGACCCAAGCCAGAGCAAUCAGCACCAGAUCGAGUCGAGUGGCUCUCAGCCAAUUAAAUUACGCUGUUUGAUCACAUGACACCGUUAGCCAGCAGUGUGUCUCCUAAAAGAGAGCUGUUUAAAGAGGCAGUUUUGAAUUUAGGAGCGCCAAGAUGGCAGCGGCAAACCCUGGCGGCUCUCCGGUGGAAAAGACCCGUCACCUUCUGGGAGUGGCGGCUCCCGUGGGAACAGC
Non-coding RNA from Maylandia zebra (zebra mbuna), 288 nucleotides. NCBI's taxonomy places the organism in Eukaryota, Metazoa, Chordata, Actinopteri, Cichliformes, Cichlidae. The record is from RefSeq and is a predicted model, not a curated record.